Molecule: ribosomal RNA, 484 nt
Filed under: uncultured bacterium
Lineage: Bacteria
Description: partial 16S ribosomal RNA
Rfam family: Bacterial small subunit ribosomal RNA
Source: RNAcentral
AUUGAACGCUGGCGGCAUGCUUUACACAUGCAAGUCGAACGGCAGCGCGGGCUUCGGCCUGGUGGCGAGUGGCCAACGGGUGAGUAAUACAUCGGAACGUGCCCAGUAGUGGGGGAUAGCUCGGCGAAAGCCGGAUUAAUACCGCAUACGACCUGAGGGUGAAAGCGGGGGAUCUUCGGACCUCGCGCUUCUGGAGCUGCCGUUGGCAGAUUAGCUAGUUGGUGGGGUAAAGGCCUACCAAGGCGACGAUCUGUAGCUGGUCUGAGAGGACGACCGGCCACACUGGAACUGAGACACGGCCCAGACUCCUACGGGAGGCAGCAGUGGGGAAUUUUGGACAAUGGGCGAAAGCCUGAUCCAGCAAUGCCGCGUGUGUGAUGAAGGCCUUCGGGUUGUAAAGCACUUUUGGCGGGGACGAAAAGGACUGUGCCAAUACCACGGUUCGAUGACGGUACCCACAGAAUAAGCACCGGCUAACUACGUG